GUGCUGGAUCGUUGUUGGUAAAUAAGCACCUCAGAGCUGUUUCAUAGGCUGUAAAAACGGCUCCAUUCACUACAAAGGCUCUGGUAACUGCAGUUCCCAAACCACGCCAGAGUAUUCUAUAUCCUUCUUCCUUAACACUUUGUCUGAAGCAAUCAACAAUGCCACCGUAUUUAGUUGAGGACUGCGCCUGGAGUCUGGUUUUUAUGACAUCCAAGGGAUAGCAAGAUAUCCAGCUAGCAACUCCAGCAAGGCCACCUGCAACGAGCAUGGUCCUGAAGGUCUCCUGGCCAUUUUUUCUGCAACCAGGGUGAAGCUGCUCUCUCAUAUACUCGUAUGUCCAGAAGUAGAAGCCAUAGGCUGGUGCAUCUCUAAGAACAGUGAUGGUUAAACCACGGUACAUUCCCCUGAGACCUUCGUUUCUGAAUAUGCUUCUUGCUACGUCCAGCGGACCACUGUGAAUGCUUGAAUA
Molecule: long non-coding RNA, 469 nt
Filed under: Coffea arabica (coffee)
Lineage: Eukaryota; Viridiplantae; Streptophyta; Magnoliopsida; Gentianales; Rubiaceae
Description: long non-coding RNA (CARA_LNC003045)
Source: RNAcentral